AAAGUCCCCUUCGGGGGACAAGUAGAGUGGCGUCCGGGUGAGUAACACGUAGGUAAUCUACCUUCGGGUGGGGAAUAACGCAGGGAAACUUGCGCUAAUACCGCAUAAUGCAGCGGCACCACAUGGAUGACAGUUGUUAAAGCGGGGGAUUUUCGAACCUCGCGCCUGAAGAGGAGCCUGCGGCAGAUUAGCUAGUUGGUAAGGUAAUGGCUUACCAAGGCGACGAUCUGUAACCGGCCUGAGAGGGCGGUCGGUCACACUGACACUGACAUACGGGUCAGACUCCUACGGGAGGCAGCAGUCGGGAAUUUUGGGCAAUGGGCGAAAGCCUGACCCAGCAACGUCGCGUGAAGGAUGAAAUCCUUCGGGAUGUAAACUUCGCAAGAAUGGGAAGAAUGAGUAGGGGCUAAUACUCCCUAUGAUGACGGUACCAUUUGUAAGCUCCGGCUAACUCCGUGCCAGCAGCCGCGGUAAUACGGGGGGAGCAAGCGUUGUUCGGAUUUACUGGGCGUAAAGGGCGCGUAGGCGGCCAGCGCAAGUCAGUUGUGAAAUCUCCGGGCUUAACUCGGAACGGUCAACUGAUACUGCGCGGCUAGAGUGCGGAAGGGGCAACUGGAAUUCUCGGUGUAGCGGUGAAAUGCGUAGAUAUCGAGAGGAACACCUGCGGCGAAGGCGGGUUGCUGGGCCGACACUGACGCUGAUGCGCGAAAGCCAGGGGAGCGAACGGGAUUAGAUACCCCGGUAGUCCUGGCCUUAAACGAUGGAUGCUUGGUGUC
RNAcentral lists this ribosomal RNA (776 nucleotides) under uncultured Pseudomonadota bacterium. RNAcentral describes it as "bacterial SSU rRNA". It matches the Rfam family "Bacterial small subunit ribosomal RNA", at positions 70 to 824 of the family's 1533-position model. Lineage: Bacteria; Pseudomonadati; Pseudomonadota. The record is from RNAcentral.